CNAUACUGCAGUCGAGCGGACUUUNAAAGCUUGCUUUUAAAGUUAGCGGCGGACGGGUGAGUAACACGUGGGCAACCUGCCUGUAAGACUGGGAUAACUUCGGGAAACCGGAGCUAAUACCGGAUAAUCCUUUUNCUCUCAUGAGGAAAAGCUGAAAGACGGUUUACGCUGUCACUUACAGAUGGGCCCGCGGCGCAUUAGCUAGUUGGUGAGGUAACGGCUCACCAAGGCGACGAUGCGUAGCCGACCUGAGAGGGUGAUCGGCCACACUGGGACUGAGACACGGCCCAGACUCCUACGGGAGGCAGCAGUAGGGAAUCUUCCGCAAUGGACGAAAGUCUGACGGAGCAACGCCGCGUGAGUGAUGAAGGUUUUCGGAUCGUAAAACUCUGUUGUUAGGGAAGAACAAGUACAAGAGUAACUGCUUGUACCUUGACGGUACCUAACCAGAAAGCCACGGCUAACUACGUGCCAGCAGCCGCGGUAAUACGUAGGUGGCAAGCGUUGUCCGGAAUUAUUGGGCGUAAAGCGCGCGCAGGCGGUCCUUUAAGUCUGAUGUGAAAGCCCACGGCUCAACCGUGGAGGGUCAUUGGAAACUGGGGGACUUGAGUGCAGAAGAGAAGAGUGGAAUUCCACGUGUAGCNNAAA
Molecule: ribosomal RNA, 648 nt
Filed under: Niallia circulans
Lineage: Bacteria; Bacillati; Bacillota; Bacilli; Caryophanales; Bacillaceae
Description: bacterial SSU rRNA
Rfam family: Bacterial small subunit ribosomal RNA
Source: RNAcentral